RNAcentral lists this ribosomal RNA (1346 nucleotides) under uncultured bacterium. RNAcentral describes it as "bacterial SSU rRNA". It matches the Rfam family "Bacterial small subunit ribosomal RNA", at positions 28 to 1381 of the family's 1533-position model. The record is from RNAcentral.
GACGAACGCUGGCGGCGUGCUUAACACAUGCAAGUCGAACGGAAAGGCCCUGCUUUUGUGGGGUGCUCGAGUGGCGAACGAGUGAGUAACACGUGAGUAACCUGCCCUUGACUUUGGGAUAACUUCAGGAAACUGGGGCUAAUACCGGAUAGGAGCUCCUGCUGCAUGGUGGGGGUUGGAAAGUUUCGGCGGUUGGGGAUGGACUCGCGGCUUAUCAGCUUGUUGGUGGGGUAGUGGCUUACCAAGGCUUUGACGGGUAGCCGGCCUGAGAGGGUGACCGGCCACAUUGGGACUGAGAUACGGCCCAGACUCCUACGGGAGGCAGCAGUGGGGAAUAUUGCACAAUGGGCGGAAGCCUGAUGCAGCAACGCCGCGUGCGGGAUGACGGCCUUCGGGUUGUAAACCGCUUUCGCCUGUGACGAAGCGUGAGUGACGGUAAUGGGUAAAGAAGCACCGGCUAACUACGUGCCAGCAGCCGCGGUGAUACGUAGGGUGCGAGCGUUGUCCGGAUUUAUUGGGCGUAAAGGGCUCGUAGGUGGUUGAUCGCGUCGGAAGUGUAAUCUUGGGGCUUAACCCUGAGCGUGCUUUCGAUACGGGUUGACUUGAGGAAGGUAGGGGAGAAUGGAAUUCCUGGUGGAGCGGUGGAAUGCGCAGAUAUCAGGAGGAACACCAGUGGCGAAGGCGGUUCUCUGGGCCUUUCCUGACGCUGAGGAGCGAAAGCGUGGGGAGCGAACAGGCUUAGAUACCCUGGUAGUCCACGCUGUAAACGGUGGGUACUAGGUGUGGGGUCCAUUCCACGGGUUCCGUGCCGUAGCUAACGCUUUAAGUACCCCGCCUGGGGAGUACGGCCGCAAGGCUAAAACUCAAAGGAAUUGACGGGGCCCCGCACAAGCGGCGGAGCAUGCGGAUUAAUUCGAUGCAACGCGUAGAACCUUACCUGGGUUUGACAUGGAUCGGGAGCGCUCAGAGAUGGGUGUGCCUCUUUUGGGGUCGGUUCACAGGUGGUGCAUGGCUGUCGUCAGCUCGUGUCGUGAGAUGUUGGGUUAAGUCCCGCAACGAGCGCAACCCUUGUUCACUGUUGCCAGCACGUUAUGGUGGGGACUCAGUGGAGACCGCCGGGGUCAACUCGGAGGAAGGUGGGGAUGACGUCAAGUCAUCAUGCCCCUUAUGUCCAGGGCUUCACGCAUGCUACAAUGGCUGGUACAGAGAGUGGCGAGCCUGUGAGGGUGAGCGAAUCUCGGAAAGCCGGUCUCAGUUCGGAUUGGGGUCAGCAACUCGACCUCAUGAAGUCGGAGUCGCUAGUAAUCGCAGAUCAGCAACGCUGCGGUGAAUACGUUCCCGGGGCU